GUUGCAGUUAAAAGCUCGUAGUUGGAUUUCGGAAGGUCCUUAGUAGUCCGCCCCUUCGGGGAGCGGGCUGCUGGCCUCCUAUGUUCCUAACGGUCCUCAUCCGCGAGGGUGGGGAAUCAACCGCUAGGAUCGUUUACUUUGAGGAAAUUAGAGUGUUCAAAGCAGGCGUAACUCGCCUCCGAAUACGUUAGCAUGGGAUAAUGGAAUACGACUUCGGUCUUGUUUCGUUGGUUUCGCUUGGCUGAAGUAAUGAUUGAUAGGGACAGUUGGGGGCAUUAGUAUUUAGUUGUCAGAGGUGAAAUUCUAGGAUUUACUAAAGACUGACCAAUGCGAAAGCAUUUGCCAAGGAUGUUUUCAUUAAUCAAGAACGAAAGUAGGGGGAUCGAAGACGAUCAGAUACCGUCGUAGUCUCUACCGUAAACUAUGCCGACCAGGGAUCCGGAGAGUUUGCAUGGAUGACUCCCCGGGCACCUUGUGAGAAAUCAUAAGUGUUUGGGUUUUGGGGGGAGUAUGGUCGCAAGGCUGAAACUUAAAGGAAUUGACGGAAGGGCACCACCAGGAGUGGAACCUGCGGCUUAAUUUGACU
This 586-nucleotide ribosomal RNA is filed under the name Vermamoeba vermiformis. RNAcentral describes it as "SSU rRNA". It matches the Rfam family "Eukaryotic small subunit ribosomal RNA", at positions 612 to 1200 of the family's 1831-position model. The record is from RNAcentral. Lineage: Eukaryota; Tubulinea; Echinamoebida; Vermamoebidae.